CCUACGGGUGGCAGCAGUGAGGAAUAUUGGUCAAUGGCCGGAAGGCUGAACCAGCCAAGCCGCGUGAGGGAGGAAGGUGCAGAGCGUCGUAGACCUCUUUUGCCGGGGGACAAAACGCCGCACUCGUCCGGUCCUGAGGGUACCCGGAGAAAAAGCAUUGGCGAACCUCGUGCCAGCAGGCGCGGUAAUACCGGGGAUGCGAGCGUUAUCCGGAUUUAGUGGGUUUUAAGGGUGCGCAGGCGGGCCGUUAAGGCAGCGGGGAAAUGGCGGUGCUCAACCCCGGCGAGCCGUUGGAACGGGGGGCCUUGAGUGAGGCGGAAGCAGGCGGAAUGCGCGGUGUAGCGGUGAAAUGCAUAGAUAUCGCGCAGAACCCCGAUUGCGAAGGCAGCGUGCCGGGGCGCCACUGACGCUGAGGCACGAAAGCGCGGGGAUCGAACAGGAUUAGAUACCCCUGUAGUC
Molecule: ribosomal RNA, 459 nt
Filed under: uncultured bacterium
Lineage: Bacteria
Description: partial 16S ribosomal RNA
Rfam family: Bacterial small subunit ribosomal RNA
Source: RNAcentral